CUAACACAUGCAAGUCGAACGGUAACAGGAAGAAGCUUGCUUCUUUGCUGACGAGUGGCGGACGGGUGAGUAAUGUCUGGGAAACUGCCUGAUGGAGGGGGAUAACUACUGGAAACGGUAGCUAAUACCGCAUAACGUCGCAAGACCAAAGAGGGGGACCUUCGGGCCUCUUGCCAUCGGAUGUGCCCAGAUGGGAUUAGCUAGUAGGUGGGGUAACGGCUCACCUAGGCGACGAUCCCUAGCUGGUCUGAGAGGAUGACCAGCCACACUGGAACUGAGACACGGUCCAGACUCCUACGGGAGGCAGCAGUGGGGAAUAUUGCACAAUGGGCGCAAGCCUGAUGCAGCCAUGCCGCGUGUAUGAAGAAGGCCUUCGGGUUGUAAAGUACUUUCAGCGGGGAGGAAGGGAGUAAAGUUAAUACCUUUGCUCAUUGACGUUACCCGCAGAAGAAGCACCGGCUAACUCCGUGCCAGCAGCCGCGGUAAUACGGAGGGUGCAAGCGUUAAUCGGAAUUACUGGGCGUAAAGCGCACGCAGGCGGUUUGUUAAGUCAGAUGUGAAAUCCCCGGGCUCAACCUGGGAACUGCAUCUGAUACUGGCAAGCUUGAGUCUC
This 613-nucleotide ribosomal RNA is filed under the name uncultured Pseudomonadota bacterium. Its description in RNAcentral is "bacterial SSU rRNA". It matches the Rfam family "Bacterial small subunit ribosomal RNA", at positions 48 to 650 of the family's 1533-position model. Lineage: Bacteria; Pseudomonadati; Pseudomonadota. The record is from RNAcentral.